This 256-nucleotide ribosomal RNA is filed under the name uncultured bacterium. RNAcentral describes it as "partial 16S ribosomal RNA". It matches the Rfam family "Bacterial small subunit ribosomal RNA", at positions 524 to 776 of the family's 1533-position model. The record is from RNAcentral.
UACGUAGGGGGCGAGCGUUGUCCGGAGUUACUGGGCGUAAAGCGCACGCAGGCGGUCUGCUAAGUUUGGAGUGACAGUUGGUGGCUUAACUGCCAAAGUGCUUCGGAAAACUGACAGACUUGAGGGCUUCAGAGGGACACGGAAUUCCGGGUGGAGUGGUGAAAUGCGUAGAGAUCCGGAGGAACACCAAAGGCGAAGGCAGUGUCCUGGGGAGUACCUGACGCUCAGGUGCGGAAAGCCCAGGGGAGCGAACGGG